This 494-nucleotide ribosomal RNA is filed under the name uncultured bacterium. RNAcentral's name for it is "partial 16S ribosomal RNA". It matches the Rfam family "Bacterial small subunit ribosomal RNA", at positions 28 to 507 of the family's 1533-position model. The record is from RNAcentral.
GACGAACGCUGGCGGCGUGCUUAACACAUGCAAGUCGAACGGUGAAGCGCCUUCCUUUUUGGUGGGUGUGGAUGAGUGGCGAACGGGUGAGUAACACGUGAGUAACCUGCCCCCUUCUUCUGGAUAACCGCAUGAAAGUGUGGCUAAUACGGGAUAUUCUGGGUCUGUCGCAUGAUGGGUCUGGGAAAGAUAUUGUUUCGGUGGGGGAUGGGCUCGCGGCCUAUCAGCUUGUUGGUGGGGUGAUGGCCUACCAGGGCGGUGACGGGUCGCCGGCCUGGGAGGGUGGACGGUCUCACUGGGGCUGAGGCCAGGCCGGGACUCCUACGGGGGGCAGCAGUGGGGAGUAGGGCACAGUGGGGGAAAGCGUGAUGCAGCGGCGCCGCGUGAGGGAUGGAGGCCUGCGGGUUGUGAAGCUCUUUCGGCAGUGAAGCAGGCCUGCCUGGUUUGUGGGGGGGUUGACGGUAGCUGGAUAAGAAGCGCCGGCUAACUACGUG